This 70-nucleotide transfer RNA is filed under the name Dipodomys ordii (Ord's kangaroo rat). It matches the Rfam family "tRNA". From Rfam's summary of the family: Transfer RNA (tRNA) molecules are approximately 80 nucleotides in length. Their secondary structure includes four short double-helical elements and three loops (D, anti-codon, and T loops). Lineage: Eukaryota; Metazoa; Chordata; Mammalia; Rodentia; Heteromyidae. The record is from Rfam by way of RNAcentral.
GGGAAUGUAGCUCAGUGGUAGAGCGCUUGCCUUGCAUGCUCGAGGCCCUGGGUUCGAUUCCUCAGCACCA